RNAcentral lists this ribosomal RNA (292 nucleotides) under uncultured Planctomycetota bacterium. RNAcentral describes it as "uncultured planctomycete partial 16S ribosomal RNA". The record is from RNAcentral. Lineage: Bacteria; Pseudomonadati; Planctomycetota.
GGACUACUGGGGUAUCUAAUCCCGUUUGCUCCCCUAGCUUUCGCGCCUCAGCGUCAGAAAGGAUCCAGUCCGCCGCUUUCGCCACCGGCGUUCCUUCUGAUAUCAACGCAUUUCACCGCUCCACCAGAAGUUCCGCGGACCCCUGUCCCCCUCGAGCCUACCAGUAUCAAAGGCACUGUUACGGUUAAGCCGCAAAAUUUCACCCCUGACUUGGUAAGCCGCCUACGCGCCCUUUAAGCCCAGUGAUUCCGAACAACGUUCGCUCGGUUCGUCUUACCGCGGCUGCUGGCAC